CUUCCGUAGGGUGAACCUGCGGAAGGAUCAUUACCGAGUGAGGGCCCUCUGGGUCCAACCUCCCACCCGUGUUUAUUUUACCUUGUUGCUUCGGCGGGCCCGCCUUAACUGGCCGCCGGGGGGCUUACGCCCCCGGGCCCGCGCCCGCCGAAGACACCCUCGAACUCUGUCUGAAGAUUGUAGUCUGAGUGAAAAUAUAAAUUAUUUAAAACUUUCAACAACGGAUCUCUUGGUUCCGGCAUCGAUGAAGAACGCAGCGAAAUGCGAUACGUAAUGUGAAUUGCAAAUUCAGUGAAUCAUCGAGUCUUUGAACGCACAUUGCGCCCCCUGGUAUUCCGGGGGGCAUGCCUGUCCGAGCGUCAUUUCUGCCCUCAAGCACGGCUUGUGUGUUGGGCCCCGUCCUCCGAUCCCGGGGGACGGGCCCGAAAGGCAGCGGCGGCACCGCGUCCGGUCCUCGAGCGUAUGGGGCUUUGUCACCCGCUCUGUAGGCCCGGCCGGCGCUUGCCGAUCAACCCAAAUUUUUAUCCAGGUUGACCUCGGAUCAGGUAGGGAUCCCA
Molecule: ribosomal RNA, 557 nt
Filed under: Penicillium dipodomyicola
Lineage: Eukaryota; Fungi; Ascomycota; Eurotiomycetes; Eurotiales; Aspergillaceae
Description: eukaryotic LSU rRNA
Rfam family: 5.8S ribosomal RNA (bases 210-362)
Source: RNAcentral